GAAUGCAAAUUCUAAUUUAAACAGCUUCUGUGUUGGGCCUGAGAGUCUGCGUUUCUAACAAGCCCCAGGUGAUCUUAUGCUGCCAGUUGACCACAUUUGAGUAGCAGGGAGCUAGAUGAUUCUUCAGGGGGAUGCUGCAGAAGAUGCAUAACUUUUAAAAUUGGGGAAACGUAGAAGGACCAUAAGUUAGAGGUAGCCAGGGACACUGACUUCAGCAGGGGAAGCAGCCCCACAGGAGCAUGUGACAGGAACAUGCACAUCACAAGGAUAGUGUAAGCAUGUGUGCACGCAUCAAGAGAGGACUAGAAGGAGGCUCUCCACACUGUGAAGAGUAGUAGUCUUUGGAUGUCUGGAUUUCGGGCUCUCGCUCUCCUGCUGACCUGAAAGAAGCAAGUGGCUGUAUUGUGAACUGCCUAAUGGAGAGGGCCACGUCGCGGGAAACUGGGGACGGCCUCAGGAGCUGAGUAACCUCUGGCCAACAGCCAGCAAGAAACUGAAUCUGUUGGUGCUACAGCUGCGAGGGAGUGAAUUCGGCAACAAGCUGAGUGAGCUUGGAAGUGAAUUCCUUCCUCAAGAUAAAAACACAGGCUGGCGGAUACCUUGGUUGCAGCCUUGUGUGACCCAGAGCCCAAGACCCAGUUAAGUCAUGCCUGGACUCCUGAUCUGCAGAAACCGGGAGACAGUAAAUGUGUGGUGUUUAAGCUGCUAAAUUUGUGGCAAUGUUUUUUACGCAGCAAUAGAAAACUAAUAUAUCCUCCCACCAGCAGUGUGUGAGAAUUUGACAUGCUUUCUGCCAAACCCCUCGUAUUGUCAGUCUUUUUAACUUUGGCCAUGCUGGUGGGUGUGUAUUGUGAUUUUAAUUUGAAUAUUCUAGAUGACUAAUAAUGUUGAGCACUUUUUCAUAUGCUUAUUGGUCAUUUGGAUAUACUCUUUAAUGAAGUGCCUUUCAAAUAUUUUCCCAUUAAAAAAAAUUGAGUUGCCUGUCUUUUUUUUUUUUUUUUGCUGGGAAAGAUUCACCCUGAGCUAACAUCUGUUGCCAAUCUUCCUCUCUCUUU
RNAcentral lists this long non-coding RNA (1055 nucleotides) under Equus caballus (horse). Its description in RNAcentral is "lncRNA (ENSECAG00000059188.1)". Lineage: Eukaryota; Metazoa; Chordata; Mammalia; Perissodactyla; Equidae. The record is from RNAcentral.